CCACGCUAAUGCUACAUUUAGAUGCAAGAAUUUGACAGCUUCAUUACUGUGAUUGUCCCUGAGCACUUAUGUAAGGAAAGAGGCUGUUCUCCCCACCAGCUCCCAGGCCCACAGCAUCUAUGCCUGAGUUCCUCAGCAUUUGGAGAGGAGGUGGCCACUGGUUGUACUGACCCCAGACCGCUGUCAUAGGGUAAACGUUCCAGGUGUCAUGGAGAUUGAGGAGUGGGGAAAACAUUCCCACGGUUGAGAAUUUUAAUAUAACAGUUAUAAUAAUUAUGGUAUUUGUGCUACCAUUUAUUGAGUUCCUCUAUGUUAGGCACCUCAUUUCCUCCUCACAACCACCCUGCCAGGCAGAUAUUGCUAUCACCAUUUAACAAGGAAAAGGAUGAGAUUCAGAGAGGCACAGUAACCACGCUUUCAGCUGCGAGGUAGAGAACACUCAGCCACAAGUGGCUGAGACGCAUGGUCAUCAAGUCUAAAAGUGAGAACUCAGAGGUAAUGCUGCAGUAAUUCUUGCCUGCUAUCUUGCAAAUGAGAGACAGGGCAGGACAGCGUGGCUGGAUCAGUGAGGCACCGUCAUAAACGAGGAAGAAGGUGGGUUGAAGAACUAAGAGGUCUGUAUUCCAGCCCCAGGUCUGCCACUUUCUAUCUGUGUUACCUUGGGUAAGUUAUUUAAUCUUUCUGAACCUCACUUUUCCAAUCUGUAAAGCAAGAAGAAGUUUGGACUAAUCUCUAAAAUUUCGUCCAGCUCUAAUAUUCUAUAGAUACAAUGCAAUUUUUACUGAGCAGCCGUGAGCAACAUUGUACAGUUUCUCACAUUAUUUCUUUAAAAACUGGUCAAAAUGCAUCUGCAUGCCAUAUGAAAGGGGGAGGUCAUUAUUCUUGCAUAUGGAGACCAGGACAUCAUACAAUAGAAUUAGAUAUAGAAUAUAAUAUUGUAGACUCUUUUAAAAUGUCUUUAAUUUGCAUUACAAAUUGUGUUUUGAAUUCUUAUCACUUUAAGUGGCUUAUGAGUGUUUUACAUUUACAGCAGAGCUCAUCUUCCAGACCCGUCUGCUAUUUCUAGUUUCCAUUUUGUUGGAGACACCAUCUCUUUAUAACCAAAUGAGGAACGUGGCAAAGCUGGGGGAAAUUUUCCUGCCUGUCUUUUUUUGCUCUCUCUCCCCCUUUGACCAGAAAUAGUAUCUUGGCAGUGGAUCUCUUUGUCUCUAAAAAAAAAAAAAAAAAAAAACAGGAAAAGGAAAUGGCAGUUGAUGAUCUGCUUUCUGAAACAGUGUCAGAAAGAUCUGAAGGAUGGGAUGUUAGCUUUGCACUGAAGCACCUUCAGUUUCUGCUUUUACCGUAUUUGCAGGAAGCUUCCUGACACUAACGGGGAAAAGAAACAGUGGCCAGAGACUGUUUCCUGAAAAAUGUGCAGGAAGGGUAAUGCGGAGGCCAAGACAAAUGUGUGGGAUGAGCUCCAGCCGGGCCUCAAAACAGAAGCUGAUGACACUCACAGGCUUCUGGGGCUCCUAGGAGGCCUUGUCACAUUCCACAUUUUUUCUGCAAGAGCUCAAAAGUUGCCUUCUCUGGAAGCUUCCGUGACUUCAGCAGAUGUUUUCCCCUUUCUUGGUUCACUCUGUCAUUUUGGUGGAGCACAUCUUCAGUAGCCUCUUGGAUGCAUGGGAGGUUAAACCACAUUUCCCAUCUCCACCUGCAGUUGGUUGAGGCCACGUGACUGAAUUCCGGGCAAUGGAACGUGAGCAGAAGAGAUGCGUGCUGCUUCCAGGCUCAGCUCACAAAAAUCUGCCAUUGUGGUCCCCGUUGUUUUUUCCCCUUCUGCGAGUUCCCCCUGGAAGCCACAUGUUAAGGAUGGUGAAACCACAAAGUGGAAGGAAACUUGGUCCCCGAAUCACAGCUUGAAGGAGAGAUUUAUGCCUGUUAGAAACACUCGCUUUGGACUUUACAUGAGUGAGAAGUAUACUUCUAUUUUGUUAAGCCAUGAGAUUCUUGGGUUUAUCUAUUAAGGCAGCUGGCAUUAACUAAAAUAUCAUGUAAAGCAUUCUGCAUAAUACCUGACAAAAUACCUGCUGAAUAAAUGUUAGUGUUAUUGG
This is a long non-coding RNA of Equus quagga, 2093 nucleotides long. RefSeq lists it as uncharacterized. The record is from RefSeq and is a predicted model, not a curated record. The transcript is spliced from 6 exons. Lineage: Eukaryota; Metazoa; Chordata; Mammalia; Perissodactyla; Equidae.